RNAcentral lists this ribosomal RNA (496 nucleotides) under uncultured bacterium. RNAcentral's name for it is "partial 16S ribosomal RNA". It matches the Rfam family "Bacterial small subunit ribosomal RNA", at positions 28 to 506 of the family's 1533-position model. The record is from RNAcentral.
GAUGAACGCUGGCGGCGUGCCUAAUACAUGCAAGUCGAGCGAACGGACGAGAAGCUUGCUUCUCUGAUGUUAGCGGCGGACGGGUGAGUAACACGUGGAUAACCUACCUAUAAGACUGGGAUAACUUCGGGAAACCGGAGCUAAUACCGGAUGAUAUUUUGAACCGCAUGGUUCAAAAGUGAAAGACGGUCUUGCUGUCACUUAUAGAUGGAUCCGCGCUGCAUUAGCUAGUUGGUAAGGUAACGGCUUACCAAGGCAACGAUGCAUAGCCGACCUGAGAGGGUGAUCGGCCACACUGGAACUGAGACACGGUCCAGACUCCUACGGGAGGCAGCAGUAGGGAAUCUUCCGCAAUGGGCGAAAGCCUGACGGAGCAACGCCGCGUGAGUGAUGAAGGUCUUCGGAUCGUAAAACUCUGUUAUUAGGGAAGAACAUAUGUGUAAGUAACUGUGCACAUCUUGACGGUACCUAAGCAGAAAGCCACGGCUAACUACGU